UUGUGUGUCCGAAACUCCCGCGGGAUGGCCGGUGGACAAUAUGGCGCACUAGUCAAGUGAAAACGGCCGAGGGUUAUGGCUGCGUUUGACGUUGAGACAGUUUCCUUGGAUGAUGACAUUUUAUUGUACGAGCUAAGCUGUAUUGUAUGGCUAGGGCGGAUUUGGAAGUUUUGACAAUUGCUUUGUGCUCUAUUUACGGAGACUGGAAAAGUGAAUCGAUGGAAGAGAGUGAAAAAGGAAGGUUAGGCAAGGAUUUGGUGGCAGCGUCAAGACAGGAUAAUGGAACAAAACUUCAUCCGACGUGACGACAACGAACGGCCUGUAAUUGACUACGCUAUGAAGAGUGAUUGAUUCAAAUGGAAUUGAAAUAACGAAUCUGUAAUCCAAGAAGCAAGCACGUGCCAUCGUUUCACCGUCGACUUUCUUACGAAGAUACUGUUAUUUUUUAUCGUGGCAUUAAAUUAAAAAUUUUGACAUGA
Molecule: long non-coding RNA, 479 nt
Organism: Cephus cinctus (wheat stem sawfly)
Lineage: Eukaryota; Metazoa; Arthropoda; Insecta; Hymenoptera; Cephidae
Exons: 2
Source: RefSeq, a predicted model, not a curated record